CUACGGAGGGUGCAAGCGUUAUCCGGAAUCAUUGGGUUUAAAGGGUCCGUAGGCGGAUUAUUAAGUCAGAGGUGAAAUCCCACAGCUUAACUGUGGAACUGCCUUUGAUACUGGUAGUCUUGAGUUAUAUGGAAGUAGAUAGAAUGUGUAGUGUAGCGGUGAAAUGCAUAGAUAUUACACAGAAUACCGAUUGCGAAGGCAGUCUACUACGUAUAUACUGACGCUAAUGGACGAAAGCGUGGGGAGCGAACAGGAUUAGAUACCCUAGUAGUCC
Molecule: ribosomal RNA, 274 nt
Filed under: uncultured bacterium
Lineage: Bacteria
Description: partial 16S ribosomal RNA
Rfam family: Bacterial small subunit ribosomal RNA
Source: RNAcentral